CAGUCGCCGCGGUAAUACGAAGGGUGCAAGCGUUACUCGGAAUUACUGGGCGUAAAGCGCACGUAGGCGGCUUGGUAAGUUAGAGGUGAAAGCCUGGAGCUCAACUCCAGAAUUGCCUUUAAGACUGCCGAGCUAGCAGGUGAGAGAGGUAAGUGGAAUUCCGAGUGUAGAGGUGAAAUUCGUAGAUAUUCGGAAGAACACCAGUGGCGAAGGCGGCUUACUGGCUCAUACUGGACGCUGAGGUGCGAAAGCGUGGGGAGCAAACAGGAUUAGAUACCCCAGUAGUCCCUGUCUCUUAUAC
RNAcentral lists this ribosomal RNA (301 nucleotides) under uncultured bacterium. RNAcentral describes it as "partial 16S ribosomal RNA". It matches the Rfam family "Bacterial small subunit ribosomal RNA", at positions 509 to 807 of the family's 1533-position model. The record is from RNAcentral.